UAAAAAAAUGUCAAUCAACAUGAACAAACCGCAAAAGAAGUUUGAAAACAGUACCAAGGUUAAAUUAAAAUAUCAAUGUUUGAUGUUCACCUUCAAACAGGACUGAUUAAAUUUGAUUACCUUAGUGGCAUCUCUCUAGAGUCACUAUAAAUCAAACAUCAAAUCCUCUGAUCGGCACCAGAGUGAUCCACCUCAGCCCCGACCACAACCUUUUCUGUACAGUGGCAGUACUCAGUAAUGAGCAUGUUUCAAUUGAAGAGUUUUUUUGCUGUUUUGCUAGUGACUACUUUCCUUCUUCAAGAAGGUGUGCAAAGUUCCUCGGUCAGUAGCUGGAUUAAGAUGAACAGGCACUUGGUGUGUUUUGAGGGGAAGGGAAGCNGCUUUGGCUCUUUUCGUAACUAUGUCAGAUCAGGUUUGGUUGUGGCGAUCAAACUAAGACACGUCUGGCCACAUUCGCUGUGUGCCUAGCAGCAAGCACAAUAGUUAUUGGGGUUGCAGCCAGCUGCAUGGAAUGCACCAUCCCAUCAAUGUCGUGGUAACAGACCAGUAUAACCACGUUCUCUUUCCAAGGAAAAGAUACAGAAGGAUGAGGAACCAAGGAGGCAUGUGGUACUGGGUACCUUUUGCAAGCACAGCCUCUAGCAAAGAAAUCAUCUUCACUGAGUUUGCCAAUCCUUUCUACUUUCCGAAGAAUAAGCAGAUGAGGAUCUGGUACGGAGAAGAUUUGAC
Molecule: unclassified non-coding RNA, 729 nt
Filed under: Actinia tenebrosa (Australian red waratah sea anemone)
Lineage: Eukaryota; Metazoa; Cnidaria; Anthozoa; Actiniaria; Actiniidae
Description: uncharacterized LOC116297288, transcript variant X1
Source: RNAcentral